This 453-nucleotide ribosomal RNA is filed under the name uncultured bacterium. RNAcentral's name for it is "bacterial SSU rRNA". It matches the Rfam family "Bacterial small subunit ribosomal RNA", at positions 340 to 786 of the family's 1533-position model. The record is from RNAcentral.
UACGGGAGGCAGCAGGGGGAAUAUUGCACAAUGGGCGCAAGCCUGAUGCAGCCAUGCCGCGUGUAUGAAAAAGGCCUUCGGGUUGUAAAGUACUUUCAGUCGUGAGGAAGGUGUUAAGGUUAAUAACCUUAGCAAUUGACGUUAGCGACAGAAGAAGCACCGGCUAACUCCGUGCCAGCAGCCGCGGUAAUACGGAGGGUGCGAGCGUUAAUCGGAAUUACUGGGCGUAAAGGGCACGCAGGCGGUUAAUUAAGUUGGAUGUGAAAUCCCCGGGCUUAACCUGGGAAUGGCAUUCAAGACUGGUUAGCUAGAGUCUUGUAGAGGGGGUAGAAUUCCAUGUGUAGCGGUGAAAUGCGUAGAGAUGUGGAGGAAUACCGGUGGCGAAGGCGGCCCCUGGACAAAGACUGACGCUCAUGUGCGAAAGCGUGGGGAGCAAACAGGGAUUUAGAUACC